RNAcentral lists this ribosomal RNA (366 nucleotides) under uncultured bacterium. RNAcentral's name for it is "partial 16S ribosomal RNA". It matches the Rfam family "Bacterial small subunit ribosomal RNA", at positions 338 to 701 of the family's 1533-position model. The record is from RNAcentral.
CCUACGGGGGGCAGCAGUGAGGAAUAUUGGUCAAUGGACGAGAGUCUGAACCAGCCAAGUAGCGUGAAGGAUGACUGCCCUAUGGGUUGUAAACUUCUUUUAUAAAGGAAUAAAACGAGGCACGUGUGCCGUUUUGCAUGUACGUUAUGAAUAAGGAUCGGCUAACUCCGUGCCAGCAGCCGCGGUAAUACGGAUGGUCCGGGCGUUAUCCGGAUUUAGUGGGUUGAAAGGGAGCGUAGGCCGGUCGUUAAGCGUGCCGUGAAAUUUUGUGGCUCAACCCUGAGAGGGCGGCGCGAACGGGAGACCUUGAGUGCGCGGCAGGCAGGCGGAAUUCGUGGUGUAGCGGUGACAUGCUUAGAUAUCACG